UGGAGCAACCGACCGCCGUUGGAUGGGGUUUCGAAAUUGGAGGCUGGGAUUAGCCCUAUAGCACAGUGCCUUUCAAGGAUCCAUGGCGUCGUUGUGCUCGGCUUGCAAGGCGGCGCUGGCCCCUUGUCGUGUGAGGUGCGUCGUUUUUACAUUUUUCAGGCUAACAGGCGGUGUGAAUGAUCUCGGAAGAUUGUGCACUGACCAUGUUCGUGUUCCAAAGCGAGCAAACUGCUGUUCGGUUCUGAAGGUCAGACUUUGAGGAUAUUGCAGAUCGUGAGCUUGCUCAGCGACAUUCUCGACAGCAUGAUGAAGAAAGGAAUACCUGAUCCGUGCGUGUCUCCUGUUUCUCUGCACUCCCUAAGGUGCAUCAGGUCCUCAACACGUUGUUCGAUCUCUCCCGUCGGGCAAAGGUUUGCUUACCCUUUAAAGAUAUUAAAGAUAAGUGUCUUUCUAAGGAAAUGGACGCUCGCUGGUUUUCUAGGAGAGAAGAAAUGGAUGCUGAUCAGAAAUCUGGGUGCCUGAAGAGGGAAGUAUGGAGUUGUGAUGACGGCGGGAUGGACUGGAGCAAGGUUGUCCAAGCUCCCCUCUCUCGCUAUGCUUGUGGAAAAUUGGAGGACAGUGCUCUUGGAAAAUCAUCGGAGGACAGUGCUAGUGGAAAAUUGGAGGAUGGCACUUAUGGAAAAAUUAUUAGACAGUGGUUGUGGAAGAGAAUUGGAGGACAACACUCUUGCUUCUGGAAAAUCAUCAAAGAACAACGUUCAUGUUUGUGGAAAAGAAUUAAAGGAUGGCAACUACAGCAGAAGUGAGGUGAGUUGUCAAAGGUGAAUUCUUUUUUAAUCUUUUUGGUUUUUCUUUCAAAGUCGCAAGAAAAUAAUGUUCUUUCAGCAUUAACGGGGCAAGAUCUAAUAAGUUUGUUUCUUCAUUAUUAAUUGAUGUGGUUUGUUUUUUAAGAUUUUGUGCGGACUCUUAGCACUUGCCCAAAGAUUUCAGACACGAACGUAAGCUUUUGGGAUCCAAGAUGACUCAUUAUCUUGGGGGAGCCAAAUGGCAUAUGCUCAUUAGGUUGCAUGGUUCAAUGAGGAAAAUGAACGGCUUAUAAAACUCUGGACGAGCCUUUUGUUUUCAUCUUGAAUCCCAAAAGUUUACAUUUGCAUCUGGAAUCUUUGGGCAAGUGAUAAGAGCCUCCGCAAAAUCUUAAGAAACAGACAACAUCAAUCAAUAAUAUAUAUAAUGAAGAAAUAGACUUACUAGCUUUUGCCCUAUCAAUGUUGGAAAAAUAUUCUUCUCUUGCAACUUCGAGAGAAAAACCAAAGAGGUAAAAAAAAAAUUCAUCUCUCACAACUCACCUUACUUUUGUUGUAGUUGUUGUCCCCCAAUUCUUUUUUGUGAACACGAGUGUUAUACUCCGAUGAUUUUCUGGGAGCGAGAGUGCUAUCCUUUUAUUCUUUUCCAUAACCACUAUCUUUUAUAAUUUUCCACGAGUGCCAUCUUCUGAUUUUCCAUGAGCACUCUUAAAGAAAGGCUCCUCAAGACUUACUCGUAGGUUCAAUUAAUCCCCGAUUGGUUUGGUAUGUAACAAAAGAUUUGAAGGUAGUAUUAGUUUCAUA
Selaginella moellendorffii is the source of this 1607-nucleotide RNA transcript. RefSeq lists it as uncharacterized. The record is from RefSeq and is a predicted model, not a curated record. NCBI's taxonomy places the organism in Eukaryota, Viridiplantae, Streptophyta, Lycopodiopsida, Selaginellales, Selaginellaceae. The transcript is spliced from 3 exons.